RNAcentral lists this ribosomal RNA (427 nucleotides) under uncultured bacterium. RNAcentral describes it as "bacterial SSU rRNA". It matches the Rfam family "Bacterial small subunit ribosomal RNA", at positions 354 to 796 of the family's 1533-position model. The record is from RNAcentral.
GUGGGGAAUCUUGCGCAAUGGGCGAAAGCCUGACGCAGCGACGCCGCGUGUGGGAUGACGGUCUUCGGAUUGUAAACCACUGUCGGGAGGGACGAAGCUCUGACGGUACCUCCAAAGGAAGCACCGGCUAACUCUGUGCCAGCAGCCGCGGUAAUACAGAGGGUGCGAGCGUUGUCCGGAAUCACUGGGCGUAAAGGGCGCGUAGGCGGCUUGGUAAGGAGGGGGUGAAAUCCCGUGGCUCAACCGCGGGGCUGCCUUCUCGACUGCCUGGCUCGAGCACGGUAGAGGCUGGUGGAAUUCCCGGUGUAGCGGUGGAAUGCGUAGAGAUCGGGAGGAACAUCGGUGGCGAAGGCGGCCAGCUGGGCCGUUGCUGACGCUGAGGCGCGAAAGCGUGGGGAGCAAACAGGAUUAGAUACCCCAGUAGUCC